ACGGAAGGCAGCAGUGGGGGAUAUUGCACAAUGGGGGAAACCCUGAUGCAGCAACGCCGCGUGAAGGAAGAAGGUCUUCGGAUUGUAAACUUCUGUUCUUAGUGACGAAACAAAUGACGGUAGCUAAGGAGAAAGCCACGGCUAACUACGUGCCAGCAGCCGCGGUAAUACGUAGGUGGCAAGCGUUGUCCGGAAUUACUGGGUGUAAAGGGUGCGCAGGCGGGACUGCAAGUUGGAUGUGAAAUACCGAGGCUUAACUUCGGGGCUGCAUCCAAAACUGUGGUUCUUGAGUGAAGUAGAGGUAGGCGGAAUUCCGAGUGUAGCGGUGAAAUGCGUAGAUAUUCGGAGGAACACCAGUGGCGAAGGCGGCCUACUGGGCUUUAACUGACGCUGAGGCACGAAAGUAUGGGGAGCAAACAGGAUUAGAUACCCUGGUA
Molecule: ribosomal RNA, 437 nt
Filed under: uncultured Clostridium sp.
Lineage: Bacteria; Bacillati; Bacillota; Clostridia; Eubacteriales; Clostridiaceae
Description: partial 16S ribosomal RNA
Rfam family: Bacterial small subunit ribosomal RNA
Source: RNAcentral